GAUGAACGCUGGCGGCGUGCCUAAUACAUGCAAGUCGAGCGAACGGACGAGAAGCUUGCUUCUCUGAUGUUAGCGGCGGACGGGUGAGUAACACGUGGAUAACCUACCUAUAAGACUGGGAUAACUUCGGGAAACCGGAGCUAAUACCGGAUGAUAUUUUGAACCGCAUGGUUCAAAAGUGAAAGACGGUCUUGCUGUCACUUAUAGAUGGAUCCGCGCUGCAUUAGCUAGUUGGUAAGGUAACGGCUUACCAAGGCAACGAUGCAUAGCCGACCUGAGAGGGUGAUCGGCCACACUGGAACUGAGACACGGUCCAGACUCCUACGGGAGGCAGCAGUAGGGAAUCUUCCGCAAUGGGCGAAAGCCUGACGGAGCAACGCCGCGUGAGUGAUGAAGGUCUUCGGAUCGUAAAACUCUGUUAUUAGGGAAGAACAUAUGUGUAAGUAACUGUGCACAUCUUGACGGUACCUAAUCAGAAAGCCACGGCUAACUACGUU
Molecule: ribosomal RNA, 497 nt
Filed under: uncultured bacterium
Lineage: Bacteria
Description: partial 16S ribosomal RNA
Rfam family: Bacterial small subunit ribosomal RNA
Source: RNAcentral